UUUUUUUUUUUUUUUUAAGAUUUAUUUUAAGGAAAGAGAGAAAAAACAUGAUCAUGAGUUGGGGGCAGAGGCAGAGGGAGAAGCAGACUCCUUGCUGAGCACAGAGCCCAACAUAGGGCUCAAUCCCAGGACCCUGAGAUCAUGACCUGAGCUGAAACCAAGAGUCCGAUGCUUAACUGACUGAGCUUCCCAAGAGCCCCUAAUUUCUAAUUUUCUUAAUAUUUUCCCUAGACUUUCCGUUAGUUGGUCUUUCUCAGUAGAUGAUCGAGGUGAGAUCUUUUUUUUUUUUUUUUUGAGGUGAGAUCUUAACUAGUUUAUUUCCUUACUUCAUAAAUUUAUAUAAAGGCUACGUGUUUGCCUCUGAGUCCCUCUUUGGCCGCUUAUUUCGUUUACAUUCGGUGAUCUCCCUCCUCCAUAAAUGCAUUUAAAAUUUGAAAUUGACCUCUGAGCACAUUUCUGGUUUUCAUUUGCAAUGGUUUCGUCCUCCAGCCCUAAAUAUCUUGGACUUUACUUGGUAAAUAUGAUUUACCUUUCACUCCUAUUUAAACCCUUUCGACUCCGUGGACUCGAGGAACAUGGGCAACACUGAUGUAGAAUAUUAUUGCAUUGGGGCUGGUGAGUGGAGUCUGAAUGUUGGGCUCAGCUUUAUGGCCUAACACAUGGUCUGGUCUUGUGAUGGUUCCAAGCGUUUGGACAGAAUGUACCUUGUUUGUUGGCUACAAAGUCCCAUACAUGUUGACUUGAUGCCUUUGCAACGGCAUUAAUCAUCUCAAGAUCCCGAUUGUUUGGUCAGCUUGGUCUUUGCAUCCCGAGUUAGAUGCAGUCUCCUGCUCUGCUGUGGUUUGAUCCAUUUCUUCUCAGGGGCGUUUUUCCCUUAGACAUUUUAAUAUGAUGUUGUUGAGGACAGUGUGUGUAUGGCACCCCCCAGAGCAUCGGGGUGCUCUGGUCCCCUGACAAGUCCUUGGUGAUGGGCUGUGCUCCAGGCUUUGUCCCUUCCAGCUUGGCGCUGCCACACGUGGGUGAGGCUGGCCUCAGGCAGGUGGGACGCAGGUGUCUGGAACAUCUGCACGGUGGCUGUGGGAAGUGGGCAGACUCGGCUCCCUGUCCAGGCUCCACCGCGUACUGUGAUCCUGGGUGAGGCACUGGACUUGUCUGGGCCUCCGUCUCCUUAUCUGCCCACCGAUGCAUUGCUGUAAGGAUUACAUGAGACCGCAGGCGCCUAUCAUACAGCAACUACUCCAUGAAUGGGGAUGGAUGUGACGGUAUGUCCUGUGGCAGGGUUGAGGCCACUGGAGAUGCUGUCUCACUGGUCAUAUCCGUGGGUUGAGGCAAUUCCUUGGGAUCCUCAGUUUCCAAGAGGUCUUCACAUCCAUCCCUACCUGCCAUCGCCCACCACCAGCCAUCGGCAUGAGCAUCUCAAGGGCUGAACCCCAGAGCAGAGGGCCACACACGUUCACUUUUCCUGAAGAUCUCCACCCCCUUGUCUGGUUUCCAGUAGGGAGUGGAAGGUAGACCCUAUUUAGAUACUUCGGUCUCAGUGGCUCAGGAGACCGAAGAAGGGAAAGAGGAGAUGCUCCCUUAGAGGGGCUUUGAGGGCUGGGUUCUCGGGGCAGAGAGGUUCUCUGGGUUCUCUCUUGGUCAAGUCCUGGACGACUCAGGGAAGACCAGGCUUGGGGUAGAAUCUAUUUUGUCCCUUUUGUCCCAUAAUCUAAGAGGAUCCCAACCCCCCUACUUGUCAUCAGAACUCAGGAGCUGCUCACUGUGGUCCCACAUGCUUCUUUUUAAGUUUUUUUAAAAAGAUAUUAUUUGUUCAUGAGACACACACACAGAGAGAGAGAGAGAGAGAGGCAGAGACACAGGCAGAGGGAGAAGCAGGCUCCAUGCAGGGAGCCUGAUGUGGGACUCACUCGAUCCCAGGACCCUGGGGUCAUGCCCUGAGCCAAAGGCAGACGCUUAACCACUGAGCCACCCAGGUGCCCUUAAAGAUUUUACUUAUUUAUUUGAGAGAAAGACAGCGAGAGAGCAUGGGCCUGGAGGAGAGGGGGUUAGCAGACUCUUUGAUGUGGGACUCGAUCCCAGGCCCCAGGAUGAUGAACUGAGCAGAAGGCAGAGGCUUCACCAACCGAGCCCUCCCCACCCCACAGGCACCCCUUUUCUUGAUUGCACUUAACCUAUGGCUUAUCUACUUCCGGUGUUUUCAAAAAGUUUUUCAUUUCGUUAACACAAAAUAAUAACCUCAAAACCAUCCCCAGUUAAAUCCAAUCCAACUUUUAUCUUAUUUCGACUUAUUCUGGUCUGUUCUCAUUAUCUGAAUGCAAAGCUUGGUCCGUUUCUUCCUGGAGCUCACUCGGUUCCAGUGCGUCCGAGGCUGCGCACGUUCCGCUGGGUACCCCCUUUUCACCGUGCGACGUGCUCACUGAUGGGCUCCAUUUCAAUGGCUCCGUGAUUUGU
RNAcentral lists this long non-coding RNA (2451 nucleotides) under Canis lupus familiaris (dog). RNAcentral describes it as "lncRNA (ENSCAFG00000051153.1)". Lineage: Eukaryota; Metazoa; Chordata; Mammalia; Carnivora; Canidae. The record is from RNAcentral.